RNAcentral lists this transfer RNA (85 nucleotides) under Neocucurbitaria cava. RNAcentral describes it as "Pyrenochaeta cava tRNA". It matches the Rfam family "tRNA". Rfam says of the family: Transfer RNA (tRNA) molecules are approximately 80 nucleotides in length. Their secondary structure includes four short double-helical elements and three loops (D, anti-codon, and T loops). Further hydrogen bonds mediate the characteristic L-shaped molecular structure. tRNAs have two regions of fundamental functional importance: the anti-codon, which is responsible for specific mRNA codon recognition, and the 3' end, to which the tRNAs corresponding amino acid is attached (by aminoacyl-tRNA synthetases). tRNAs cope with the degeneracy of the genetic code in two manners: having more than one tRNA (with a specific anti-codon) for a particular amino acid; and 'wobble' base-pairing, i.e. permitting non-standard base-pairing at the 3rd anti-codon position. Lineage: Eukaryota; Fungi; Ascomycota; Dothideomycetes; Pleosporales; Cucurbitariaceae. The record is from Rfam by way of RNAcentral.
GGUUUUGUAGUGUAGCGGUUAUCACUCCGGAUUCUGAUCGCCUCAGAGUCUUCCGGCAACCCCGGUUCGAUUCCGGGCAAGACCU